GGGUGAGUAACACGUGAGUAACCUGCCCCUUACUUUCCUGGAUAACUGCUCGAAAGGGUAUCUAAUACGGGAUAUUCUGACCAUCCUGCAUGGGUUGGUUUGGAAAGGUUUUUUCUGGUAAGGGAUGGGCUCGCGGCCUAUCAGCUUGUUGGUGGGGUGAUGGCCUACCAAGGCUUUGACGGGUAGCCGGCCUGAGAGGGUGGACGGUCACACUGGGACUGAGAUACGGCCCAGACUCC
This 239-nucleotide ribosomal RNA is filed under the name uncultured Actinomycetaceae bacterium. Its description in RNAcentral is "partial 16S ribosomal RNA". It matches the Rfam family "Bacterial small subunit ribosomal RNA", at positions 104 to 339 of the family's 1533-position model. Lineage: Bacteria; Bacillati; Actinomycetota; Actinomycetes; Actinomycetales; Actinomycetaceae. The record is from RNAcentral.